This 561-nucleotide non-coding RNA is filed under the name Staphylococcal allelic exchange vector pIMAY. The record is from RNAcentral. RNAcentral also lists the same sequence under 1 other name.
UGAUCUAAUGAUUCAAACCCUUGUGAACUUCUUUAGAACAAAAGAGGUUCGUAACAAGAUUUUCUUCACACUAGCAAUGUUAGUAAUUUUUAAAAUAGGGACUUAUAUACCAGCUCCAGGAGUAAAUCCUGCAGCUUUUGAUAAUCCCCAAGGUUCUCAAGGUGCCACUGAGUUAUUAAAUACUUUUGGUGGCGGAGCCUUGAAACGAUUUUCUAUUUUUGCAAUGGGUAUUGUACCCUACAUCACUGCAUCAAUCGUAAUGCAAUUAUUACAAAUGGAUAUUGUCCCUAAAUUCUCAGAAUGGGCAAAACAAGGUGAAGUAGGUAGAAGAAAGUUAAAUAACGUUACUCGUUAUUUAGCAAUUUCUUUAGCAUUUAUCCAAUCUAUAGGUAUGGCAUUCCAAUUUAAUAAUUAUCUCAAAGGUGCGCUGAUUAUCAAUCAGUCAAUUAUGAGUUAUUUAUUAAUAGCACUAGUUUUGACAGCAGGAACUGCUUUCUUAAUAUGGCUUGGUGAUCAAAUCACUCAGUUCGGUGUUGGUAAUGGUAUUUCUAUUAUCAUAUU